GAUGAAGAACGUAGCGAAAUGCGAUAAGUAGUGUGAAUUGCAGAAUUCAGUGAAUCAUCGAAUCUUUGAACGCACAUUGCGCCCCAUGGUAUUCCGUGGGGCAUGCCUGUUCGAGCGUCAUUUACCCCCUCAAGCUCCGCUUGGUGUUGGGCGUCUGUCCCGCUUCGCGCGCGGACUCGCCCCAAAGGUAUUGGCAGCGGUGGUGCCAGCUUCUCGCGCAGCACAUUGCGCUUCUCGAGGCACCGGUGGGCCCGCGUCCAUCAAGCUCACCCCCCCAGUUUGACCUCGGAUCAGGUAGGGAUACCCGCUGAACUUAAGCAUAUCAAUAAGCGGAGGA
Molecule: unclassified non-coding RNA, 337 nt
Filed under: soil metagenome
Description: partial contains 5.8S ribosomal RNA, internal transcribed spacer 2, and large subunit ribosomal RNA
Rfam family: 5.8S ribosomal RNA (bases 1-120)
Source: RNAcentral